RNAcentral lists this ribosomal RNA (253 nucleotides) under uncultured bacterium. Its description in RNAcentral is "partial 16S ribosomal RNA". It matches the Rfam family "Bacterial small subunit ribosomal RNA", at positions 524 to 776 of the family's 1533-position model. The record is from RNAcentral.
UACGUAGGGUGCAAGCGUUGUCCGGAAUUAUUGGGCGUAAAGAGCUCGUAGGCGGUCUGUCGCGUCGGGUGUGAAAGCCCGGGGCUUAACCCCGGGUCUGCAUUCGAUACGGGCUGGCUGGAGUGUGGUAGGGGAGAUCGGAAUUCCUGGUGUAGCGGUGAAAUGCGCAGAUAUCAGGAGGAACACCGGUGGCGAAGGCGGAUCUCUGGGCCAUUACUGACGCUGAGGAGCGAAAGCGUGGGGAGCGAACAGG